CCAUUUCAUAUAUUUCUUCCCUCUCCUUUCUCACUUAUCUUCUUCAAACCCUCUCUCCCCACACAACCCAAGCCCUCUCCUUCAACCUUCACAAUCUUGCAGCCCAUCAUCUUCUUCUUCUCCAACAUCGUCCACGCCAUUCGUUCGCAGCCCAUCAACCAACGUCAUCUUCGUUCGCAGCCCAAGAUCUGUCGUAGAUCUAGGCGGAGCCAUCGUCGUCGUGCGCAGAUCUUCGUCGGCCCCAUUUGAUUUCUGUGCCGCAGAUCUGGGCAUAUCUUUGUACCCAUCGUCGUAAAUUUUGUUGUUUUUGGGUACAAGGGAGCUGAAUAGGGUGCUAACGGCGGAGACAGGGCUGGAGGCGGCGGCGCAGAAGGUAAUAUACAGAGGAAGAGAAAGGGAAAACGGGGAGUAUUCGGAGGGUUGUGGAGUGGAAAACAGAUCGAAAAUGGAGUUGGUUGAGGAUUUACCCUUUUCUUUUCUCUACUUCUCAAUAAAUAAUGGAGCAUUCAUUAAUUAGUCUACUUCUCAAAAUAACAUGGUGUACUUAAAAUGUAGUUUAACAUUUACCCUUUUCUUUUCUCUACUCAAUAAAUAUUGAAGCAUAUAUGGAGGAGGAUGGGGAGAUAAAUGAAGAAGCUGAAGGAAAGGAUGCAAUGAAGGAUACAUCUCGGGAAGAAAAUUGGAAGGAGUGAUACAGCCUUCCAGAACGAUGUAUGAAACAAAAUCAUUUGCGGCAGAGUGGUUCAUUUAGAUUGGAUGGGAAUAGAAGAGGAACUAGGAUGGUAAUUUCCAUGUAUACUGUCUUUUAGUCAUCUAGACAAUGCUUUGGUUUGAUGUCCCGCAGUAGGAAGUCUCGAAGAUCUGCUUUAUCAUUUAUACAAGGAUUUUGAAGUUCCAGCUGCGGAGAAUGUUCCAAGGAUAUUGCCUAAGAAUGAGGAUCCUAGCUUAGUUAGCAGGAACAAGAGAAUGUUGGGUCAGCUUUUGGGAACAUUAGAGAAAUUCAGGAAGGAAGAAAAGCAACUCUCAGGAACUGAAGCUUUCAUGAGAAGAUCAGAUUCCUUACAAAGAAGCACGAGAAGAAAGCGAAAGAUUGAGGCAACAAGAGUGUGAACAAAGUGCAGAGAAACAAAAGAGAGAUCUGGUUCAAGUUUGACGUGUAAGGUUACAUUUUGAUUCUUGGGGAUUCGGAAAGAAGAUGGGAAGAUUGCAUUGGACAUGUUUUGAGAAGGUUGACAAGUGGAAAAAGUGCGCCCAACACAAAAAGAACUUCAUAACAACAUUAAUAACAAAUACAAGGUAAUAUUUAUAAGAUGCUUAUCUUAAAAGUCUAUUUGUUCUAAAUUUUUGGAUUAGACUCAAUGUUAGAAUGCUAUAACUGUCCUGCAGUUAUGGUAGCAUAGCUUAGUUGUUUAUGACUUCCAUUGAGCGGCUUAUGGUAGUGGAACUUCUUAGGCAUCCUUUGGUAGCUUAUAUUUAUGCAUUAUUUGUCUAAAUGAAUCCGGUUGCACUAUGGUAGUUUAUGGGUUAUUCAUGCAUUGUGGGUUAGGUUAAUUCUUCAUUAUCAUUGUCGAAUCUUUUGUUAUCUCUUGUUUAACCAUUUAUUGUGCUUAUUUGUCAAUUUGAAUCUAAUUCGUCCUUGGAAUCUUGUUUGGAUAAUCUAGGAUUGACUACCUUCAUGUCAAAGAUUGACCCUCGAUAGCAUCUUUUAAUUAGAGAUAAUUUUUUGUAGUUUCAUUUGAUUGAAGGCUUCGAGCUUCUGUAUGGUUGUUUAUAACAAGAACAUGAUAUCUCGACCUUCUUUACAAAUUCCCAUGAAGACUCGAAAUCAAAGAUCUGAGAAUUUAUGUACAAACGUAUAUGUGUGUAGAAAUGUAUUUUAUAGUUUAAAAGUAAGUUCUCGCUCUUUUUUGAUACACCAAUAAAAGUUGUUUGGAUCUAACAAAUUUUGAAUUUUGCUAUGUAACCCUUAUGAGUGGUAAUUUGUUGAUUACCUUGGUUUUGGAGUUAAAUUAUCAUCAAAUUCUUCUUU
Molecule: non-coding RNA, 2029 nt
Organism: Benincasa hispida (wax gourd)
Lineage: Eukaryota; Viridiplantae; Streptophyta; Magnoliopsida; Cucurbitales; Cucurbitaceae
Source: RefSeq, a predicted model, not a curated record